Molecule: ribosomal RNA, 501 nt
Filed under: uncultured bacterium
Lineage: Bacteria
Description: bacterial SSU rRNA
Rfam family: Bacterial small subunit ribosomal RNA
Source: RNAcentral
AUUGAACGCUGGCGGCAUGCCUUACACAUGCAAGUCGAACGGUAGCGGGCCUUCGGGUGCCGACGAGUGGCGAACGGGUGAGUAAUGUAUCGGAACGUACCAUUGAGCGGGGGUUAACGUAGCGAAAGUUACGCUAAUCCCGCAUAUUCUCUCCGGAGGAAAGCAGGGGACCGUCAGGCCUUGCGCCCUUUUAGCGUCCGAUAUCAGGUUAGCUAGUUGGUGAGGGAAAGGCUCACCAAGGAGCCGAUCUGUAGCGGGUCUGAGAGGAUGAUCCGCCACACUGGAACUGAGACACGGUCCAGACUCCUACGGGAGGCAGCAGUGGGGAAUUUUGGACAAUGGGGGCAACCCUGAUCCAGCCAUGCCGCGUGAGUGAAGAAGGCCUUCGGGUUGUAAAGCUCUUUCGGCCGGGAAGAAAUCGCAUGGGCUAAUACCCUGUGCGGAUGACGGUACCGGCAUAAGAAGCACCGGCUAACUACGUGCCAGCCGCCGCGGUAAAAC